Molecule: ribosomal RNA, 441 nt
Filed under: uncultured bacterium
Lineage: Bacteria
Description: bacterial SSU rRNA
Rfam family: Bacterial small subunit ribosomal RNA
Source: RNAcentral
CCCUACGGGAGGCUGCAGUGGGGAAUAUUGGACAAUGGGCGAAAGCCUGAUCCAGCAAUGCCGCGUGAGUGAUGAAGGCCUUAGGGUUGUAAAGCUCUUUUACCCGGGAAGAUAAUGACUGUACCGGGAGAAUAAGCCCCGGCUAACUCCGUGCCAGCAGCCGCGGUAAUACGGAGGGGGCUAGCGUUGUUCGGAAUUACUGGGCGUAAAGCGCACGUAGGCGGCUUUGUAAGUUAGAGGUGAAAGCCUGGGGCUCAACUCCAGAAUUGCCUUUAAGACUGCAUCGCUUGAACGUCGGAGAGGUGAGUGGAAUUCCGAGUGUAGAGGUGAAAUUCGUAGAUAUUCGGAAGAACACCAGUGGCGAAGGCGGCUCACUGGACGACUGUUGACGCUGAGGUGCGAAAGCGUGGGGAGCAAACAGGAUUAGAUACCCUAGUAGUC